AAUUUUGGUAAGCAGAACUGGCGCUGUG
Molecule: small RNA, 28 nt
Filed under: Bombyx mori (domestic silkworm)
Lineage: Eukaryota; Metazoa; Arthropoda; Insecta; Lepidoptera; Bombycidae
Also listed under: 1 other name
Description: piRNA piR-bmo-1805551
Source: RNAcentral